This 473-nucleotide ribosomal RNA is filed under the name uncultured bacterium. RNAcentral's name for it is "bacterial SSU rRNA". It matches the Rfam family "Bacterial small subunit ribosomal RNA", at positions 335 to 799 of the family's 1533-position model. The record is from RNAcentral.
ACUCCUACGGGAGGCAGCAGUGGGGAAUAUUGGACAAUGGGCGCAAGCCUGAUCCAGCCAUGCCGCGUGUGUGAAGAAGGCCUUUUGGUUGUAAAGCACUUUAAGCGAGGAGGAGGCUUACCUGGUUAAUACCUGGGAUAAGUGGACGUUACUCGCAGAAUAAGCACCGGCUAACUCUGUGCCAGCAGCCGCGGUAAUACAGAGGGUGCGAGCGUUAAUCGGAAUUACUGGGCGUAAAGCGCGCGUAGGCGGUUUGUUAAGUCGGAUGUGAAAUCCCCGGGCUCAACCUGGGAAUUGCAUUCGAUACUGGCAAGCUAGAGUAUGGGAGAGGAAGGUAGAAUUCCAGGUGUAGCGGUGAAAUGCGUAGAGAUCUGGAGGAAUACCGAUGGCGAAGGCAGCCUUCUGGCCUAAUACUGACGCUGAGGUGCGAAAGCAUGGGGAGCAAACAGGAUUAGAUACCCUGGUAGGCUCUG